Xenopus laevis (African clawed frog) is the source of this 346-nucleotide long non-coding RNA. RefSeq lists it as uncharacterized. The transcript has 3 exons. The record is from RefSeq and is a predicted model, not a curated record. NCBI's taxonomy places the organism in Eukaryota, Metazoa, Chordata, Amphibia, Anura, Pipidae.
UAAUUUUCUCUUUUAUCUUUCAGGAUUUUAACAGAGAAGAAAAUCGGGCAACUAGUCAAUCCACACAACUUCAUAGUGGAUAUAUAUGCGACAUUCAACACCAAAUACCUGCUCUUCUUCGUCAUGGAGUAUGUACCAGGAGGCACCCUAAGAACUCACCUGAAGAAAAGUGGCCACUUCGACCUAGCGACAACGAAGUUCUAUGCUGCAUGUAUAACGCUCGGUCUUGAAGCCAUACACGCCAAGGAUGUUAUACACAGAGAUUUAAAACCGGACAAUCUCUUAAUGGAUGAAGACGGAUAUAUAAAAAUUGCAGAUUUUGGAUUGGGCAAAACAGGUAAGGGGG